Molecule: ribosomal RNA, 301 nt
Filed under: uncultured bacterium
Lineage: Bacteria
Description: partial 16S ribosomal RNA
Rfam family: Bacterial small subunit ribosomal RNA
Source: RNAcentral
CAGCAGCCACGGUAAUACGUAGGUGGCAAGCGUUGUCCGGAAUUAUUGGGCGUAAAGGGCUCGCAGGCGGUUUCUUAAGUCUGAUGUGAAAGCCCCCGGCUCAACCGGGGAGGGUCAUUGGAAACUGGGAAACUUGAGUGCAGAAGAGGAGAGUGGAACUCCACGUGUAGCGGUGAAAUGCGUAGAGAUGUGGAGGAACACCAGUGGCGAAGGCGACUCUCUGGUCUGUAACUGACGCUGAGGAGCGAAAGCGUGGGGAGCGAACAGGAUUAGAUACCCCAGUAGUCCCUGUCUCUUAUAC